This 4363-nucleotide unclassified non-coding RNA is filed under the name Hevea brasiliensis (rubber tree). The record is from RNAcentral. Lineage: Eukaryota; Viridiplantae; Streptophyta; Magnoliopsida; Malpighiales; Euphorbiaceae.
UUUUUUUUUUCUCCUGUGGCUAGGUUUAGUGUAGGCCUGCAUAUUGAUCAGUUAAACUUGAUAUGGGAUUUGUUCAGAACUUGCCGUUCCAGCAUCAUUUCUUUUCUAAUAUUUACAGCUUUAUGAUCGGUUUCCAAGAAAUCUUCUCUCACCAAAAUGUCACACUUGACUCGAUUUAUGAAUGCUAAAAUAAGCUUUCCAGGAGGCUUAAACACAAGCACAAAAUGGUCUAAUGAACAGUUCUUGUAUCUAUUCCCACUGUUUAAAGCACUCUCUGCUCUCUUAUCACUUGGUUAUUUCACUUCCUUGUUUGUUGACAUGCUUUCAUUUCUUCAACCUCUAUUUCUCCUUCACUUAGGAUAGGAUGAGAAGGGGCCGAAAAAUCAACCUGCAUGUUUGGCAAUGCACUCCAAGCAGCAGCUUAAUAAUAAAACCAAUUCCAAUGACCUAUGCAAUGAUUAGCGUUUCACUUCUCACAACUAACAUAACCACUUCCAUGCCUGCCCAUACCAGGAACAGAAGUAAUAAGGCAAUACGAGCCCUCACAAUCAGACAUCAGAUGCAUUCAUAUCAAAAGGAAAACACAUAUUACCAUAUGGUUUGUGGUUCUUACUAGUGGGAUCAUUCAUCUGGAUUUUGUUCUAAGCCCUCAAAACGGGUGGGGGGUGGGAGAAGUUGUUCUUCUUUAUCAAAUGCCCUAAUGCACAUCUUUGUUAAGGGAAAGUCAACUACCACACAAGGUGCCCAGCAAAUACCUGGCAAGUGAAUGUUCAGAUUCGUAUUGUGAAUAAGAUAAUAUUCCAAAUAAUUUGGUCUAUGCUAAUUUAUAUCCAGCUUUGUAAUUCAUGCAUAAUAAACAAUAAACAGCUAUAUCUACAAUUCUGCCAAUGAUGACAUAUUCAUUACUUGUAGAGAGGCAUCAUAUGUUGUGAAUAAUGACAGCAUGUAUCAACUAUUGGGUAAGUGUACAACACGCAUGUGCCAACAUCUCACAUGGCUUCAUUAUCAGGUACCCAUGGGAUUGCAGUUUCUGCGACAUCAAGGCCUGAUGAAAAAUAUAAUGGCAGGCUAACAUACUUUGGACAUGAGCUUCUUGAGGAAUACAUGUCUUGAAUUAUUGAUCCAACUACACAGUCCCGUGGCUUGAAAUCCUUAUAGAAGCACAAACGGAGUUCCUCUACUGCAUCUCUUGAACAAAUCAAUGAUGGGGUUGUAUGGAAAGCAUUCUCAAUGGUAGAGACAAUACCUCCAAGAGGAUAUUUUUCAGUAUUUGAAGGAAUAUAUCCUGCUUCAUUCAGCACUUUCUAGUAUCAGACAUUACAUAAAACAAUCAGUGGUCAGUUGGAUAAACCAGAUACUUUUCCAGUGCAAAUACCCAAAAAUACUACAGCAUGAAAUAACUACUCUAAGCACAUGAAGAUGACGUAAGAUGGUAAAUUCAACUUACAUAAUCCAAGUACUCCAGUCAGAGAUUGACUGUUUAUAGAAUAGAUUUGCAACUACAAUGCAAUAAGUAAAUCAAGGAAAGUUGGCAACAAAAUUUGUUACCAGUAAAAACCUAAAACGGUCUAGGCACUGAUUUGAUUUGCUAUGUAGAUAAAACUUUAUAGUUACGGUGUGAGGGAGUAUCUAAGAUCCUGACUUUGCAAAUAUAAAUACUGAUGGACAAAUUUAACUUCUUAGGAGCACUACAACAUAAUAUGUACUUUCUUUAAUCUUGCACUUUGUUUUCUGCUAUGAUGCCCAAGAAUCUAUAUUAUGUUGCGAGUGAAAAUUUCUCUGUAAAAUGAAUCAUAUGUUUGCAGGUAAUGGGCAAAAUUGGAUUCCGAAAACUUACCGUGACAUUAUACUUAAAGAAUAAAUUAAGGACUGUUACAAAAUAACUGUAUUCGUCUUGGACAACUGGAGAGGAGCAAGUCCCAUGCUUCUCCCACUGCCAAGUGCCAAUGCGCAUUUCCCCAUUCAGCCAUCAUCAAGAAUGGAAAGCAAAGCACAUUAGUUUUGAAUCAUGGUAUGACUUAGCAACAAACAGUGACUAUAUUUGAUAACCACCUCAUGUGCCCAAAAUGAUCCUUUUGUACCAUGACAAGUUGAUGAUGAACCACAACUUAAGGAUGGCCAAUACUUUUGUAGACCAUCAAGCAACGUUGAGAUCUGCAUGUUGCAAUUUUCUUAGGCUCAAUACAUGGCAAGAACUUAUAUGAUAACUAAAUCUAAUACAUAAAACAAGACAGAACUAUCAUUCAAAAUAUUUAGAGCAACUGAUAUGCAUUGCACAAUCACUUAAAUGUUUUCUAUUCUCAAUAGCAAUGUGCAUAAAAUAGAAUAUCACCAUAAUUUUUCAAUGGUUAUAUCACUUCUCAGUCACACCAUGCACCUUCAAGAUGUUUCUUUCUAAAACUAUUUUCUAAUAUCUAAAACUCUACCAGAUAGGCAUAGUCCUACGUACAUGUAUCAGAUAAGAAUGAAAAAGUUGUAAUACAAAAUAAAGUACAAUAAAAACGUGCCUCUUUUUCAUCAAAAUCCGAUCGCCUACAACAGGCAGGCCAGGUUCCAUCAUUAUAGUCAGGCCACAGCCCAUGGAUUGUAAAUUCAGUUGGAGCAUUUGAACUGGGAAAUAAAAAACAAUAGAGAUAUUAAUUCCAGGCUUCCGAUGCAUGAUUUGCACUGCAAAAUAUACAUAAACUAUGACACCACCUUGUUAAAUAAUCAACUAAGAAUAUUGAUAAUGUAGAAAGAGAAUGAUAGUAAUAAUCAAAACAAGUGCAUCCCAGGCCAUAUAGGAACACAUGGACCAAAAUUACCAAUUAUUUUCAAGAAGUGCAUGCAUUGAAACAAAAGCGGAAGUGUAUAAACCUUUCUAUUUUAAAUGAUAGUAACAAAUCUUUUCAAACGUUGCACGUGCAUUAAAUGUUAUCCCUUAUUCACUGAAAGUAAUUGAGUGUUCCUCUGGUUAUAUAUGUAUAUAUAUGUACACACACACACUGAAUAAAAUAGCAAAAGGCAAAAGCAAAUUUUGAAGGGCUAAAUUAUGAAGUACAACCAUUCCAAUUGACAAGUUCUUGACUAGGCAAGUAGUCAAAAUUUCAGAAUUGGAAAAGGUAAUCCUUUGGCCCCAGGUAAUAAUUGACCCUAAAAAGAAAAAAGAACAAGCUUUACUUCUUAUAUUCAUACAUUUUCUUCUUUCUAUCAAAAGGCGGAGCCAAAACUAAACUAAUACCUGAAAUCAACAUAAUCAAUGCGAAUUAGAAACCAAUAAGAUGUGCUUGCAUUUUAUCCCUCUUUAUUUUGAAAAAUAUACCAUAUAGCCAUCUAUUUUUAAGUCUAUAGUUCAGUCAAAGGAAAGAUAAUAGUUAUAAAUAGGAUUAAAUAGUCAAUGAAUUUAAAUUACAGGACUAAAUUAUAGUCGUAUUCUUCUUGCUUAUACUGAUACCUAUACCCAAGUUGUAUGAUAUGGUCUGGUGGAUUGUCUAGGCAAUAAUUUCUCAUUCAAUCAAGUUACAAGGCUCCAUAAUUGAGUAGAAAAAAAAAUUACUUUUAAAUUAACGAAGCCCUAAACAGUCAACAGAAUAAAAAAAUUAAAUAAAUAAAUAAAGAUUUAUGACCAAAUUGAAACUAAGUGCACAGUCUAGCGACCAUGAAUAUAAUUCACCAUGCAAUCCAUCAUUUCAAAGAACCAAACAGCAGCAAAGGUAAGGAUAAGUGCAACGAAAUAAACAUAUGGACAAUGGAUAUGACUGCAAUUUAAUAUUGGUAGAUUGAUGAAGCAGUUCAUGAACAAAGGAUGCUGUACAGAAAUGACAGUGUAUAUGUAAUUUAAAUUUAAUAUCACAAACCUUUUUAAUAUUCUAUAGUCACACUCGAUAUCAUCAAAUAAGACAUAUUGCUCUUCCCAUAAUUUUGCUCAUGAUCACCCUGCCUAGCCAUUGUUCACAUACAUGAUACAUGUAGAAACAUCCAGGAAAUACUAGUAUCAUGCAUAUGACCACUUCAUUCUAGAAGUGCUCAGUCUAUAAAGCCUAUUUUGAAUGAUUAUUCCUUCUCUUCCAAAAAAAUAAACUUGAUUCUAACUAAUGCAAAUGCAUUAAGGUAACAACUUGAAUAUUCAGAUGUUGAUUAUAGCAUCAUUAUCAACAUCUUCUGUUUAUUAUUUCAUUGCAAGUGUUUCUGUGAAUAUUAUCUGAGAAAUGAAGGUAAAGAACUAAUAUGCCUCUAUAAAUUUAAAGAAGUAAUAAUAAAAAUUGAUUUUCAAUUUAUAAAAAAGAGGGGGCUUUCUUGAAAGCAAUUUAGAAGGGGAAAGAAACAUGAGACAUGAAAGUUGGGGCAUGUAGAAUAGUACCGGUAACAGCAUACACUGCACACA